Acanthosepion pharaonis is the source of this 98-nucleotide non-coding RNA. NCBI's taxonomy places the organism in Eukaryota, Metazoa, Mollusca, Cephalopoda, Sepiida, Sepiidae. The record is from the annotation of a GenBank genome assembly.
UACGGCUAUAUCAUAAUGAAACAUUAGUUUCCGUACGAUCACAGAAGUUAAGCGAGGUCGAGCCUGGUCAGUACCUAGAUGGGGAACUGCUUGGAAAA